This 420-nucleotide ribosomal RNA is filed under the name Bacillus subtilis. RNAcentral describes it as "bacterial SSU rRNA". It matches the Rfam family "Bacterial small subunit ribosomal RNA", at positions 1 to 408 of the family's 1533-position model. Lineage: Bacteria; Bacillati; Bacillota; Bacilli; Caryophanales; Bacillaceae. The record is from RNAcentral.
CCCUUUAUGAUUUUUUUUUUUUCUGCUCAGGACGAACGCUGGCGGCGUGCCUAAUACAUGCAAGUCGAGCGGACAGAUGGGAGCUUGCUCCCUGAUGUUAGCGGCGGACGGGUGAGUAACACGUGGGUAACCUGCCUGUAAGACUGGGAUAACUCCGGGAAACCGGGGCUAAUACCGGAUGGUUGUUUGAACCGCAUGGUUCAAACAUAAAAGGUGGCUUCGGCUACCACUUACAGAUGGACCCGCGGCGCAUUAGCUAGUUGGUGAGGUAACGGCUCACCAAGGCGACGAUGCGUAGCCGACCUGAGAGGGUGAUCGGCCACACUGGGACUGAGACACGGCCCAGACUCCUACGGGAGGCAGCAGUAGGGAAUCUUCCGCAAUGGACGAAAGUCUGACGGAGCAACGCCGCGUGAGUGA